RNAcentral lists this ribosomal RNA (497 nucleotides) under uncultured bacterium. RNAcentral describes it as "partial 16S ribosomal RNA". It matches the Rfam family "Bacterial small subunit ribosomal RNA", at positions 28 to 507 of the family's 1533-position model. The record is from RNAcentral.
GAUGAACGCUGGCGGCGUGCCUAAUACAUGCAAGUCGAGCGAACGGACGAGAAGCUUGCUUCUCUGAUGUUAGCGGCGGACGGGUGAGUAACACGUGGAUAACCUACCUAUAAGACUGGGAUAACUUCGGGAAACCGUAGCUAAUACCGGAUAAUAUUUUGAACCGCAUGGUUCAAAAGUGAAAGACGGUCUUGCUGUCACUUAUAGAUGGAUCCGCGCUGCAUUAGCUAGUUGGUAAGGUAACGGCUUACCAAGGCAACGAUGCAUAGCCGACCUGAGAGGGUGAUCGGACACACGGGAACUGAGACGCGGUCCAGACUCCUACGGGAGGCAGCAGUAGGGAAUCUUCCGCAAUGGGCGAAAGCCUGACGGAGCAACGCCGCGUGAGUGAUGAAGGGCUUCGGAUCGUAAAACUCUGUUAUUAGGGAAGAACAUAUGUGUAAGUAACUGUGCACAUCUUGACGGUACCUAAUCAGAAAGCCACGGCUAACUACGUG